ACCCUCCGACGGGAAGCGGCAGCGCGGCGCUCCGGGCGCGGGCCUGGCGGGGCAGGGAUACGGCUGAUUGGCAGAGGUCGGAGAAACGCGUUUCUUUGCUGCGGCAUCGGUGCUUAAAAGGCAACUUAGCGCGGAGGAAGCGUGACAUAGCUGCAGAAAUACAUAACCUAAGAGGACAGGCAUAAAGCAUCCACUCCAUUCAGCUCUGCAGAGGUCAGGUGUGUCCCGCCCACUUCUGUCAAACUUGCUUGUUAGACUGACAGCGAGGAAGACUGCACAACUUCUUAAUGCAUUCUAGUAUUUUCAUCAGGAAAACCGUUCUAAAAUAGAAAUAACGGCUAAUGUAGCAUCUUUACGUAAGACCAAUCCCUAAAUCGCAGUUUGUUCAGCGAAACAACGAUAACUACCUUUCCCGUUCCAGGGAAUUCUUGCCCUCUUCGCAGUGCUGAGUGGCUGCCGCGGAGUUCAGGGCUCGGCACUAACAGAACAGCAGCAGCAGGUCCGUGUGGGAGGUAACAGCAGCCCACGGCUUGUGUUUAAGGGAGGGGGUCUUUCUAUAGCUGGAGGGCGAGCUCUAGGAACGUGAUGAAGCGUCCCAGCAUGUGAUCCAGUAGCCUGCUUCCUUUUCCUGGUGGGAGCUGGGGGCCAAGACUAUCGUAGAUCAAAAAGAAACACAAUGGCCAGGGUGGGGUUGUUUAAUUCUGCGCUAAACCCCGCAGUGAGUUCCCUUGAUAUGGUUCCUUUGCUGUGAAAGACUUCUGAGGCUAUGUUUGUAUCAGUCCUAUGCCUGUCUCUUGCAAACAAAAUAAUCAUACUCCCUUCAGUAUUGUAAAACCUUUGAAGUUUAUAUGAGUACAGUGGUGUGCAAUGCUGGCAUAUCCUGGAGCUCUGGCCUUCUGCAAGUACAGAAAUUGACCUUUAUCCCCCUCUGUGAAGGUCAUCAAGGAAUCUGAAUUUUUUAAACCACCACUACAUCCUUAUUUGUCCUUUCAGAGAAAGAGGCAGUCUGACCUGUGCCCUCUGUUUCCUCUGAAAUAUCUUUAUGGAUGAUCUGACACCAAGGUGGGAGAGAGUGUCGAUCUGUCUGAGGGUAGGAAGGCCCUGCAGAGGGAUCUGGAUAGGCUGGAUUGACGGGCUGAGGCCAAUUGUUCAGCAAAACCAAGGGCUGUGUCUUGCACUUGGAUCGCAACAUCGCAACAACCCCAUACGUCGUUAUAGGUUUGGUGCAGAGCGACUGGAAAGCUGCCCAUCAGAAAAGGACCUGGAGGAGUUCAAGAAAUGUGCAGAUGUGACGUUGAGAGACAUGGAGCUGCGUAGGGUCCGGCACUCUGGUGGGAUGUGAGUUUGAUGGCACUGUGGCUGCCCGUGGCUGCAGUCUCCAUGGAGAGCAGCAGGGAGGAGCAAUGCAUCACACUGAACGUUCCCAGCUCUGGAGUCAACACUGAGAUGUUAAUUCUGGGCUCAGCACCCUGCACAGGGCGCUGUACAGAGGGAUGAUCAGCGGACAAUACCCUAAGCAGCUCUCCAUAUCUCUGCUCCUCCAUUCUAAAUAAGAGAAGAACGUUACAAUUGCGUCUCAGCGCUGCAUAAGUCUAUGAGAGGCUCAGAUGAAAACGCCUCCCUCUGCUGGCUUGCUCGAAUGCUUGAAGAUGGUGAAGAUCCACUCUACGUGGCAAGGAGGCUGGUGAGGUUUGCAAGCGAAGAUAUAGAUGUUCUGUAUAUACAUAAUUUCACAAGAUCCACUGUCAGCUGAAGAGCCGGAUCUGAUAAUCACGGUUAGCUAUAUAGAAUGGAAGAAUUUCCAUGUCAGUUGAGAUUGUUUUCUUGAUACCAGAUACUCAUCUGUCUUCUGGCAAGAGGAUUGAUGUCUGGAUUACGUUUUGGAGAAAGAUGAGGGAAUGAGGCCCAGUAAUGGACUAGAAAACAGUUUUUGUAACUCCUUGUACUUACCAAGCAACUAUUGAGUGCUGCUCAAGAUACCUUUGGAUUGGGAAGCUACAACAGAUACAAAAAGCAUAUAAUGUUAUUUGAUAGAGCAAAUUCUCAGCUACAAAACACUACUUUUCAACAUAGCCACCACCAUUAGCUGUGCAUUUUCACUAGUGAUGAACGACAGCCUGCAUGCCUCACUCAUAAAAAUCUGCACCAGUGAAGGUGACAUUCUCACUGUUGCCACUGCUGAAACGUACCACUCACCACCUCACUGUGCUCACAGCCCCUGUUUGGUCUCCAUUAAUGUCCAGCAAGCGUUGAUGAAUGUCAAUGAAUGGAAUGUUUUCUGCAUGGAUGAAUUCAGUUCCAGACCUUUGUUUCAAACACAUUUCCAUGUCAGAUGUCACUUGGUCAGACCACUCCUCUGCUUCCAUCUGUCACACAGCAACAACAUGUAACAGAAUACUGGAGGGAAGGUUCAACCUCUACUGCCAUACCACCAUCUGCCUCCGACAUCACGGGCCAACAUAAUAAAUUAGGAAGCAUUACUUUUGGAGCAGCCCUCAUAACUGCAAUGCUGAAGGCCUGAAUAAGCCAGAUGCUUCCAAAAACAAGUAAUUCCUCCACAGAAUGGAGGACAGCUGGAAGUAAGAGCUUUAUGCAAAUAUAACGGAAAAGUUCGCUUCCAAUCUAAGCCAUGCUAUGGUUCUAUGAUUCUAUGAAAAGAAAGACCAUUACCUAAAGUGCACUGUAAAAAUCUUGAACUUAAUAAAACAGUCUCAGAAACAUACCUUGAGCAAACCGGAAUCGUAACAGUUUGGAUAAUCAUGAGCAAAUCCUUGGACCAAGACUCUGUCCAUCCAGCCCUUCAUGAUUGCUGGCAUGCUGAACCAGUACAAGGGAAACUAGGCAAAAAAUGAAUGACCUUGUUAGUGCAGAGAGCCCAGGGCAUCCUUAGGCCUGGUCUGUAGGCAAUCUCUUGUUUUCCUGAUCUGUUCAGAUCUUGUACAGGUCUUCUUCCAGGAGGGAGAGGCAGUAACUACGCUUGGCAAAAAUAACUGAAGUGCUUACUGUAUGUAGUGAUCUCAGGUACGUAGCUAAGCAGCUGUAGUGCAUUAAUACCAUGGUGAAUGUCAGAGCUUCCACACGAAUGGAAGUUGGAAAAUGCUAGAGCUGGAAAACGUCAUUAAGUUCAAACUCAAGACCAUACAAAAUGCAAAAGGAAUGUAUAAGCUAAUGGUUAUUGUUGCCAAAGUGGCCACAGGAGAGACCUAUUACCAGGACAUCUGGUGAUCGGUUCUGAUCUGACAUUUGUUAAUGCCAUGAUGUACUAAGAGACUGUCUCACAGCCCACUAACAUGAUGACCUGGAACCACCAUAUUGAGAAGAAAACUUCCUCUCUAACAGUAGGUCUCCUUUUAUUUUUCUUCUUUUUUUUUUUUCCCUUUUCCUUAUUAUUAUAUUAUAUUAUAUUAUAUUAUAUUAUAUUAUAUUAUAUUAUAUUAUAUUAUACUUUUUCUGCACCAGAAUGUGCCUGACUCCUUCUGGUAUUUUACAGACAGAAAGUAGAAAGCAACCUCUUCCUUCGGGGGAUGUUUUAUGAUACUUAUCUGAGAAACAAUAUUUUGAAAACGAUGAAAACAUGCUUUGAAAUACUUGCCCAAGAUACAGUCAUAUCCUAAAUUUCACCAGGAGCUAGACAGUUCAAUAUAUGUAAGCUGUGCCUGAGGCCAACAGUUGGAUUAUGAGUUUGGUCAGAAUAUUUUCUUUUUCAUCAUGCGGGGACUCCUGGACAUCAGCACUUUGGAGGUCAGUACAUUGUGUACUUUAUCCUUGCUAUCGACUGUAUUUGUGCAAGUAUGUGACCUUUUGGUCUCUACACUGCUGACACCACUGUUUCAUUUAGGAGCUACUCUGCACCCAGGCAUCUGUCUCCCAUAGGGAACACUGUUUCCACACUGUGGGGCUAGUGGUACUUCCUGUGAUAUUUCUGGGCCUUGUGCACGCCAAAGACAGGACUACUGCAGAAGAGAGUAGACAUGAGUUGUAAAAAUCAGUUAGCAAGUCCAGACAGUGCUUGUCCAACUCAGCAAUAAAAGAGGGCAGUACGACUGGGGAAGUCAGAACUCCCCCAGCCUGCUGGCUGCCCCAAAUUCCUUGCCCAUUAAAGAAGCCAUGCCUGGCUUUCUGCUGCCUGACAACCAUGGUCAGGUACAUCAUUGUGAAUACAGACAUUACAUUUGGCCUUGUUGCAGCAAGUUUCUGGAUUUGCUGUUAUAACUACUCUGAUAAUUGUACUCCUGAUCUGUGCUUGUUCCUGUGCCAUUAUUUAGAAAUGAAGCCUUUGUCCAUACAGCUUAUAGUUUGGUGUCUGUUACAGUUUCCCAAACUUGAAUCUGCUUUCUUGCAUUUAAACCCUUACAUUCCUGUGCAUAAAUCUGCAUUUGCUUUGCUUGUGCUCCAAGGCAUGCGUAUAGUUAUCAGGCUGCAUGAUAAUAUGGCACGGUUCUCUUAUUGAGAAUUACAGCAUUAGUUUGCACUCAAUACUUGAUAGUCUGAAUGGACCCAUGCAAUUUGUUUUAGAGUGCAGGUGGCAUAAGAAGCAGUCUUCACAAAAGUAGUCUAAUUGCACUUUGAAUGCUAGUUUCUAAGUGAAAUGCAGGUGUGAAUUUUACUUGGAUGUUUUAAAGAUCUGAUUUGUGAUGCCUUCCUAUUUGCUACAAAUGUCAGUGUGGAGCCUUAAUUUGGUGAAAAAUUCAUACUGUACUAGCACAGACAAUACACUUGAUCUGGUAUUUCUGAUGCUUUCAAAAAUACACACCAUAUCAGACAAACCUGACACUGAAUUGCUAUGCUGGGUACAAACCAUUUUAUGUUGAUUGCUGAACUGCUGCCUGUUUUCACUCUGGCUAGUCAGUGCUCCUAAUGAAAUCUGUAAUCUUCUCACUUACUACUCCUUUUAGGUUGUUCAGCCCUGUACAUUACAACUGAAGUAUUUUAAUACAAUUUAAAAUAAUUACCUGAAAAAUCAGUAAGUCUGCUUCCUGCACCUUCUUUUGCUCUUCAGUCAAAUCAUUGGACAAACAUCCUCUCUUGUAAGCUUCCAUCAUCUCCACUGCAUAAUGGAACUCCUCUGAGUUGUGCAAGCAACCUGUGGAGAGAAGGGCACAGUCACGGCUUACUCCAUCCACAGCACUGUAGCCAAAUAAGAAUUAAAUACAUGUUGUGAUCUACAGUUCUAAAUUGAGUUACUGCUUGCCUUUCUUUUCCCCACAUACAUUUUUACAUGACUGUUCAGUAUCAUCACAGCCGAUAGAUGAUGGCUUGAUUGUAAACUGGGGAGGAAUGUAUGACCUCAGAGUACUGAAACUUUCACCUUUCUGUGGUAGCACGUGAUGUGCAAAAAGAAGACCCAAUCUGGUGAUGCGGGUGGAUGGCUUAAGAAGAUAUAAGAGAAUUUUGCUAAUUGUUCUGCCUCUGCAUUGGAGAUUACUGAAACCGUAGUCACAAGCACUAUGUAGCUGCUUUUCAGUGUCUGUGGAAACUCAGCAGAGGCUGGGGAACCAGUAUCCACUGCUCUGCUGGCUCCACCGUGGCUGGGUGAGCUGAUUCAGGUAUGUCCAAAUCAAACUACACAUCCAUUCCUGCUGAUUGAAUUAGCAGUCCAUCAGUCUUUAGCAAAAGGACUGGUAAAAAGUGUGGGAAGGUGGAAGUAGUAACCUCAUAAACUGAACUACAGUCAGUUGUACAUUCAGUUGUACAGAAUUGCAAGUCGUACAGCGAUAUCUGAAGACAUUUCUCACCCAAGAGAAACGGACUUCAGAUGGGAGGUUGAUUCUGAACAAGUGCUAAUGCAUUUUUGUCUCUCACUAAUCUCACUGUGAGCCAAGGGCCAUGCCUAGGAGUGGACUUUUAGGAAUGCUUAAGUCUUGUAGUCUCACUGUUAAUAAGUGUCUUCUUUCUUUGCCAGUGCUCGCCUUAGACCUGUGAUAUUCCUUUUCGAUUCUUGUUCUAAAGAAAGAUUGUCAGUUCUCAUAGAUGGUCUCAAAGCUUUGUUUUUCUUGACCAGAAGAAGUAUUUAUGCUAUUAAAUAGUUGUGAGAUGCCAAAAUGACUCACAAGCCCAUGCGCUUAAAUGCCUGGAGCUAACUCACAGAAAGCAUUUAUAAUAUUGUUCAUUAAGUGGAGGUGGUUCUUAAAACGUCUCUUCAG
Molecule: long non-coding RNA, 6143 nt
Organism: Gallus gallus (chicken)
Lineage: Eukaryota; Metazoa; Chordata; Aves; Galliformes; Phasianidae
Exons: 6
Source: RefSeq, a predicted model, not a curated record